RNAcentral lists this ribosomal RNA (2094 nucleotides) under Triticum aestivum (bread wheat). RNAcentral describes it as "partial small subunit ribosomal RNA". Lineage: Eukaryota; Viridiplantae; Streptophyta; Magnoliopsida; Poales; Poaceae. The record is from RNAcentral.
AUGCGAGGUUGGCAGCCGCUCCAGAAGCUUCUAGAAGCCGCCGCGGACUCCUCCACUCCCCUUGCCGCCGCGCGCCUCCACGCCCGCCUCCUCCGCUCGGGCCACCUCCACUCCUCCCACCAUCUCACAUCUCAUGUCCUCGCGUCCUACCCUCCCGCCCUCGCUCGCCACCUGUUCGAUGAAAUCCCCGUCCCGACCCCGCUCCUUGCCAAUGCGCUCCUCCGCGCGCGCGUCCGUGCGGGCCAGUGGCGCGACGUGCUCCUCCUCCUCCCGCGCCUCCGCGUCCGCCCGGACGCCUUCACGCUGUCCCUCCUGCUCAAGUCCUGCGCCAUGCUCCCCUCGCUCGCCCACGGCCGCGCCGUGCACGCCCUCGCCGUCCGAUCCUGCGCCGCUUACACUGACGCCUUCGUGGCCGCCGCGCUUGUGCAGAUGUACGCGAAGUGCGGCGACAUGGUUGGCUCAAUCAACGCCUUCAAUGCGUUCGAGGAACCAGACAUCGUCCUCCGGACUUCCGUGGUGACUGGGUACGAGCAGAACGGGAUGGCACAGGAGGCACUGGAGUUCUUUGCAAGGAGUGUGAUUGGGCACAGUUUCAUGCCGAGUCCAGUCACUCUUGUGAGCGUGAUCUCGGCAGCGGCGCAGUUGAGGGAUGUCCGAAAUGGGCAGGCCUGCCAUGCAUAUGUUCUCAGGAAUGACUUGGAGUAUGACUUGGUUCUGUUGAAUGCUAUUCUUGGGCUUUACAUGAGGAUUGGAGUUGUACAAUCUGCAAGGAGGUUGUUCGAGGGAAUGAUGCAGAGAGACGUGGUCACAUGGAGCUGUAUGGUCACAGGAUAUGUGCAAUGUGGACACAACUCUGAAGCAUUGAGCGUAUAUAAGAAAAUGGUUGAGGCAGGAGUGAAGCCAAAUGCAGUUACUGUUGUGAGUGUUCUGCAGGCCUGUUCACUUGCUCUGGAUGUUGAAGAAGGCAAGAGGUUGCAUGACGUUGCUGUCAAGAUAGGUUGCGAACUUGAGAUGACAGUUGCAACUGCGCUGGUUGAUAUGUACAUGAAGUGCUCGUGUCAGGAGAAGGCAAUGCAGUUAUUUCUUCGGAUGCCAAAGAAAGAUGCAGUAGCUUGGGCGGCGGUCAUUAGUGGUCUUACCCAAAAUGGUCUCCCUGAUGAGUCGAUGAGAGUCUUCAAGUGCAUGUUGUUGGAUGGUCCUGUCCCUGACGCUGUCACUAUGGUGAAGGUACUUGCUGCAUGCUCAGAAUCUGGUGUUAUGAAUCAAGCCUUUUGUCUCCAUGGCUAUUUGGUUAACACUGGUUUCUGUGAUAGGAGGUUUGUGGCAGCUGCACUUGUGGACUUGUAUUCUAAAUGUGGAAACUUGGGUAGCGCUGUCAGGGUAUUUGAAAGUGCCACUGAGAAGGAUAUUGUGCUAUGGAGCUCAAUGAUCUCAGGUUAUGGAGUCCAUGGCCUUGGGCAGCAAGCUGUUGCCUUGUACCAAAGGAUGGUCGCUUCUUCAGUUAAACCUAAUAGCCUGACAUUUGUAUCUGUGUUAUCGGCAUGCAGCCACUCUGGACUUGUGCAGCAAGGAAAGUCCAUUUUUAAAAGCAUGACUCGAGUCUAUGGAAUCAUGCCAAAUACAGAGCAUCGUAGUGCCAUGGUUGAUCUCCUUGGCCGAGCCGGUGAAUUGGAAGAGGCAGCGAAGCUCCUCCAUGAAACAGGUGGGAGAGCUGAUGCUCAUACUUGGUGUGCCUUGCUUGCUGCCUUUAGAGAACACCGUGACACAGAGAUGAGUGAUAUGGUAGCUGCCAAACUACUCAAGCUGGAUCCUGACCAUGUUGGCUACUAUAAUCUCAUGACCAAUAUAUAUGCAUUUGAUGAAAAGUGGGACCGUGUAAAAGAGACUAGGGACAUUAUCAGAGAUAGAGGUUUGAAAAAAGUGCCAGGUUGCAGUGCAAUAGAGAUCAAUGAUGCAAUGCACACAUUCACAGCUGGGGAGAGGUCACAUCAAGAUUGGGAGAAGAUCUCUACAUUGCUCUGGGAGUUGUCACGAAAGUUAAGAGGGGAUGAUUGUUUCUUUCAGUUGGACCGUCACUUGGUGUUUGAAGAUUUC